CCUACGGGUGGCAGCAGUGAGGAAUAUUGGUCAAUGGGCGCAAGCCUGAACCAGCCAAGUCGCGUGAGGGAAGACGGCCCUACGGGUUGUAAACCUCUUUUGCCGGGGAGCAAGCCUGAGCACGUGUGCCCCGUCGGAUAGUCCCCGGAGACAAAGCAUCGUCUACCUCCGUGCCAGCAGCCGCGGUAAUACGGGGGAUGCGAGCGUUCUCCGGAUUGAUUGGGUUUAAAGGGUGCGCAGGCGGGCUGUUACGCCGGCGGUAAAAAUUCAGGGCGCAACCCUGUCGCGCCGUCGGAACUGGCAGUCGUGAGUGGGCGAGAAGUAUGCGGAAGGCGUGGUGUAGCGGUGAAAUGCAUAGAUAUCACGAAGAACGCCGAUUGCGAAGGCAGCAUACCGGCGCCCAACUGACGCUGAGGCACGAAAGCGUGGGGAUCGAACAGGAUUAGAUACCUGGGUAGUC
Molecule: ribosomal RNA, 460 nt
Filed under: uncultured bacterium
Lineage: Bacteria
Description: partial 16S ribosomal RNA
Rfam family: Bacterial small subunit ribosomal RNA
Source: RNAcentral